Long non-coding RNA from Hemicordylus capensis (graceful crag lizard), 1786 nucleotides. RefSeq lists it as uncharacterized. The transcript is spliced from 4 exons. NCBI's taxonomy places the organism in Eukaryota, Metazoa, Chordata, Lepidosauria, Squamata, Cordylidae. The record is from RefSeq and is a predicted model, not a curated record.
GGUGGGCACAGCCCUGAAUGGAAGCCACAGCUCUAGAUGGUUCCCUUGGGAGGGAAGGGUGUGCUUUGUGCAAUGACUGAACAGAAGAGCUGUAUGAAUUCUCAAGACCAGAGAAUAAAGCCUCUCUCUCUUUGUUUAUCGAAUUCUAAUCUAUCAAAUUCUAUAGAAAAGCAGCAUCAGGCUGAAGACUUCUUAUGCAAGAUGAGUAGUGAUGGCCAAGCUCCCCUUGACUCAUUUCAGAAUUAAGCUUGUUUUCCAACAGGACCUACUGAGGCGUUAAUCUUUGACCUGCACUGCUGUGACGGAGAAGAACAGCAUUUUUGUUCAUUUCUCAGAGACUCUCAAGUGGAUUACAGUAAUUUGCCUCAUAGCACCCCAGGGGAAGUGUGACUUUUAUUAGUGACCUCUUUAGGAUAGUAUCUUUCCUGCAGAGACAAUGGAAAAAUGAGAGGAAAAGGUUAUGCACCUUGAGUUGGUAGGAAACCUCCUGUAUGCAGUAUGCAAGCUAGAAGAUGCACCAAGAAUAAGCUGCAGUCUUGAAUUAGCUGGAAAAGGUGCAUCCUGUUAAAAGAAAGAGCUAAAUCUCUAGUAGAAGGCCAUAAAGCUCCUGUUAACAAAUGAUGUUUGACCCCAGUAUCUGGUAUUCAGACGUAUACUGCCUCAGACAUGAAAGUUUCAACUGGGCAGCAUUUAGAUGAGUCAGUCAUAACUAAGCACCAUUGAACUCAAUGAGACAAGUUAGUCAUGACCCUGCCUAUUGGAUAUAUGAAAACAGCAGACUUCUUCAAUCAUUCAACUAUUUAUUGCUAACAACUUAUUGAAAAAUUUAAAACUUUUAAUUUUUAAAUUAAAUACGUGGGGCAGGGGGACCAAGCAUAUACUUAUCUGCAGAUGGCCUCUAGUUUCUAGCCCACCUGAGCCUAGGACUGAUCAGUCCCCUGAGGAGAUCAUACAGACCCAACCACUCACAGAGGUUUCUACUGCAAAUUAAAACUGCUCCCCUGCUUUCUCAUGUGGCCUUCCUGGCCUUAUCUAAUCGCUCCAAAAAAGCCAAAGUAACAGAAGCUGCACACAGUGACAAUGUUUUUUUCUUCAAGUUCUUAACUGGAAAAAGGCAUAUACAAAUAGUGUAAGGCAGGCACCCUUAGGAAACUGAAAAGAAAAGAAGGUCAUAGCCAUUCCCACUGUGGGAAAUCCUGUAGUAAGUAAAUCAAACGACAUCUGGAAGGUAAGUCUUCCAAAAUAAGUCAACAUCUUGAACUCAAAAGCAAACAAACAUUGAGAAAUAAGGAUACCACUUGAGCUGCAAAACUCUCUCCUCAACAGAUGGGCAAUUUGCAGUUCCUAAAGUCUGAGGAAUCCUACCAUAAUUGUAGGCAUUUUUCCACUGCACAAUGUGGCUGCCGCUUUGAAGCUCAGGGACUUAGAGAAGUCCUUCUAUCCACUUUCGUUAUCUUUUCUGUGUUAAGUAAUCAGAUCUCAUCAAAAUGCAAAUUAGCAACAUGGCAGAAACCCUCCCUGGGAAUUACAUAUUACUUCCCUAUCUUAUUUUUUUUCUCUCUCCCCACCAUGCACUAAACAUCUUUGAAGCUGAUGCUACACAUAGAUACAUCUUCCCAAGUGAUGUUCUCAAAUAUAUAACUCACAAGUAGCAGCUCUGUUUUCUCCUUUUUGGAUUAUUAAAACUGAACUCUACUUUCGGUCCCUGCUGAUCAUUUAAAAAGUUACUUCUUCAAACCCUUUCAAGGGUCAGUGUAUUAAAUAUGCUAUAAAUUGUUCAUUUCUG